AGAGUUUGAUCAUGGCUCAGGACGAACGCUGGCGGCGUGCCUAAUACAUGCAAGUCGAACGCUUCUUUUCCCACCGGAGCUUGCUCCACCGGGAAAAGAGGAGUGGCGAACGGGUGAGUAACACGUGGGUAACCUGCCCAUCAGAAGGGGAUAACACUUGGAAACAGGUGCUAAUACCGUAUAACAAUCGAAACCGCAUGGUUUCGUUUUGAAAGGCGCUUUACGGUGCCGCUGAUGGAUGGACCCGCGGUGCAUUAGCUAGUUGGUGAGGUAACGGCUCACCAAGGCCACGAUGCAUAGCCGACCUGAGAGGGUGAUCGGCCACAUUGGGACUGAGACACGGCCCAAACUCCUACGGGAGGCAGCAGUAGGGAAUCUUCGGCAAUGGACGAAAGUCUGACCGAGCAACGCCGCGUGAGUGAAGAAGGUUUUCGGAUCGUAAAACUCUGUUGUUAGAGAAGAACAAGGGUGAGAGUAACUGUUCACCCCUUGACGGUAUCUAACCAGAAAGCCACGGCUAACUACGUGCCAGCAGCCGCGGUAAUACGUAGGUGGCAAGCGUUGUCCGGAUUUAUUGGGCGUAAAGCGAGCGCAGGCGGUUUCUUAAGUCUGAUGUGAAAGCCCCCGGCUCAACCGGGGAGGGUCAUUGGAAACUGGGAGACUUGAGUGCAGAAGAGGAGAGUGGAAUUCCAUGUGUAGCGGUGAAAUGCGUAGAUAUAUGGAGGAACACCAGUGGCGAAGGCGGCUCUCUGGUCUGUAACUGACGCUGAGGCUCGAAAGCGUGGGGAGCAAACAGGAUUAGAUACCCUGGUAGU
Molecule: ribosomal RNA, 815 nt
Filed under: uncultured bacterium
Lineage: Bacteria
Description: bacterial SSU rRNA
Rfam family: Bacterial small subunit ribosomal RNA
Source: RNAcentral